Molecule: ribosomal RNA, 300 nt
Filed under: uncultured bacterium
Lineage: Bacteria
Description: bacterial SSU rRNA
Rfam family: Bacterial small subunit ribosomal RNA
Source: RNAcentral
GCGUGUGUGAAGAAGGCCUGCGGGUUGUAAAGCACUUUCAGCAGGGAAGAAAAGCGCGGGGCUAAUAUCCCCGUGUCUUGACGUUACCUGCAGAAGAAGCACCGGCUAACUCCGUGCCAGCAGCCGCGGUAAUACGGAGGGUGCGAGCGUUAAUCGGAAUUACUGGGCGUAAAGCGCGCGUAGGCGGCUUGGUCAGUCGGAUGUGAAAGCCCCGGGCUCAACCUGGGAAUUGCAUUCGAUACUGCCGGGCUAGAGUAUGGGAGAGGGAAGUGGAAUUUCCGGUGUAGCGGUGAAAUGCGU